UACGUAGGGUGCAAGCGUUACUCGGAAUUACUGGGCGUAAAGCGUGCGCAGGCGGUUGUGCAAGACAGAUGUGAAAUCCCCGGGCUCAACCUGGGAAUUGCAUUUGUGACUGCAUCGCUGGAGUACGGCAGAGGGGGAUGGAAUUCCGCGUGUAGCAGUGAAAUGCGUAGAUAUGCGGAGGAACACCGAUGGCGAAGGCAAUCCCCUGGGCCUGUACUGACGCUCAUGCACGAAAGCGUGGGGAGCAAACAGG
This 253-nucleotide ribosomal RNA is filed under the name uncultured bacterium. RNAcentral describes it as "partial 16S ribosomal RNA". It matches the Rfam family "Bacterial small subunit ribosomal RNA", at positions 524 to 776 of the family's 1533-position model. The record is from RNAcentral.